CAAGACAACUUUACGGAGUUGACGAUUGACGGAGCGAAGCGACGUCAAAGCGUUCAUUAAAGUCGAGUUGGCUUAGGGAUACGUUCGUUGGGUAGGGGAGCGUUCUGUAAGCCUGUGAAGGUGUGUCGUGAGGCAUGCUGGAGGUAUCAGAAGUGCGAAUGCUGACAUAAGUAACGAUAAAGCGGGUGAAAAGCCCGCUCGCCGGAAGACCAAGGGUUCCUGUCCAACGUUAAUCGGGGCAGGGUGAGUCGACCCCUAAGGCGAGGCCGAAAGGCGUAGUCGAUGGGAAACGGGUUAAUAUUCCCGUACUUGGUGUUACUGCGAAGGGGGGACGGAGAAGGCUAUGUUGGCCGGGCGACGGUUGUCCCGGUUUAAGCGUGUAGGUGUGUGUUCCAGGUAAAUCCGGUUCACUUUAACACUGAGGCGUGACGACGAGGCACUACGGUGCUGAAGCAACAAAUGCCCUGCUUCCAGGAAAAGCCUCUAAGCAUCAGGUAACACGAAAUCGUACCCCAAACCGACACAGGUGGUCAGGUAGAGAAUACCAAGGCGCUUGAGAGAACUCGGGUGAAGGAACUAGGCAAAAUGGUGCCGUAACUUCGGGAGAAGGCACGCUGACACGUAGGUGAAGUGAUUUACUCAUGGAGCUGAAGUCAGUCGAAGAUACCAGCUGGCUGCAACUGUUUAUUAAAAACACAGCACUGUGCAAACACGAAAGUGGACGUAUACGGUGUGACGCCUGCCCGGUGCCGGAAGGUUAAUUGAUGGGGUCAGCGUAAGCGAAGCUCCUGAUCGAAGCC
Molecule: ribosomal RNA, 800 nt
Filed under: Salmonella enterica
Lineage: Bacteria; Pseudomonadati; Pseudomonadota; Gammaproteobacteria; Enterobacterales; Enterobacteriaceae
Description: partial 23S ribosomal RNA
Rfam family: Bacterial large subunit ribosomal RNA
Source: RNAcentral